GACAGAGGGGGCAAGCGUUGCUCGGAAUCACUGGGCGUAAAGGGCGCGUAGGCGGGAUGGCAAGUCGGUCGUGAAAUCCCUGGGCUCAACUCAGGGGGGUCGGCCGAUACUGCCGUUCUUGAGGGAUGCAGAGGAGACUGGAAUUCCCGGUGUAGCGGUGAAAUGCGUAGAUCCCGGGAGGAACACCAGCGGCGAAGGCGAGUCUCUGGGCAUCCCCUGACGCUGAGGCGCGAAAGCGUGGGGAGCAAACAGG
RNAcentral lists this unclassified non-coding RNA (253 nucleotides) under uncultured bacterium. RNAcentral describes it as "contains 16S-23S intergenic spacer region". It matches the Rfam family "Bacterial small subunit ribosomal RNA", at positions 524 to 776 of the family's 1533-position model. The record is from RNAcentral.